AGAGUUUGAUCCUGGCUCAGGAUGAACGCUGGCGGCGUGCCUAAUACAUGCAAGUCGAGCGAACGGACGAGAAGCUUGCUUCUCUGAUGUUAGCGGCGGACGGGUGAGUAACACGUGGAUAACCUACCUAUAAGACUGGGAUAACUUCGGGAAACCGGAGCUAAUACCGGAUAAUAUUUUGAACCGCAUGGUUCAAAAGUGAAAGACGGUCUUGCUGUCACUUAUAGAUGGAUCCGCGCUGCAUUAGCUAGUUGGUAAGGUAACGGCUUACCAAGGCAACGAUGCAUAGCCGACCUGAGAGGGUGAUCGGCCACACUGGAACUGAGACACGGUCCAGACUCCUACGGGAGGCAGCAGUAGGGAAUCUUCCGCAAUGGGCGAAAGCCUGACGGAGCAACGCCGCGUGAGUGAUGAAGGUCUUCGGAUCGUAAAACUCUGUUAUUAGGGAAGAACAUAUGUGUAAGUAACUGUGCACAUCUUGACGGUACCUAAUCAGAAAGCCACGGCUAACUACGUGCCAGCAGCCGCGGUAAUACGUAGGUGGCAAGCGUUAUCCGGAAUUAUUGGGCGUAAAGCGCGCGUAGGCGGUUUUUUAAGUCUGAUGUGAAAGCCCACGGCUCAACCGUGGAGGGUCAUUGGAAACUGGAAAACUUGAGUGCAGAAGAGGAAAGUGGAAUUCCAUGUGUAGCGGUGAAAUGCGCAGAGAUAUGGAGGAACACCAGUGGCGAAGGCGACUUUCUGGUCUGUAACUGACGCUGAUGUGCGAAAGCGUGGGGAUCAAACAGGAUUAGAUACCCUGGUAGUCCACGCCGUAAACGAUGAGUGCUAAGUGUUAGGGGGUUUCCGCCCCUUAGUGCUGCAGCUAACGCAUUAAGCACUCCGCCUGGGGAGUACGACCGCAAGGUUGAAACUCAAAGGAAUUGACGGGGACCCGCACAAGCGGUGGAGCAUGUGGUUUAAUUCGAAGCAACGCGAAGAACCUUACCAAAUCUUGACAUCCUUUGACAACUCUAGAGAUAGAGCUUUCCCCUUCGGGGGACAAAGUGACAGGUGGUGCAUGGUU
RNAcentral lists this ribosomal RNA (1063 nucleotides) under Staphylococcus aureus M59255. Its description in RNAcentral is "bacterial SSU rRNA". It matches the Rfam family "Bacterial small subunit ribosomal RNA", at positions 8 to 1050 of the family's 1533-position model. Lineage: Bacteria; Bacillati; Bacillota; Bacilli; Caryophanales; Staphylococcaceae. The record is from RNAcentral.